UAAACGAUGAAUACUAGGUGUGGGAGGACUGACCCCUUCCGUGCCGCAGUUAACACAAUAAGUAUUCCACCUGGGGAGUACGACCGCAAGGUUGAAACUCAAAGGAAUUGACGGGGGCCCGCACAAGCAGUGGAUUAUGUGGUUUAAUUCGACGCAACGCGAAGAACCUUACCAGGAUUUGACAUCCAACUAACGAAGUAGAGAUACAUUAGGUGCCCUUCGGGGAAAGUUGAGACAGGUGGUGCAUGGUUGUCGUCAGCUCGUGUCGUGAGAUGUUGGGUUAAGUCCCGCAACGAGCGCAACCCCUAUUGUUAGUUGCUACGCAAGAGCACUCUAGCGAGACUGCCGUUGACAAAACGGAGGAAGGCGGGGACGACGUCAAAUCAUCAUGCCCCUUAUGUCCUGGGCUACACACGUAAUACAAUGGUCGUCAACAAAGGGAAGCAAUACCGCGAGGUGGAGCAAAUCCCCAAAAACGAUCUCAGUUCGGAUUGCAGGCUGCAACUCGCCUGCAUGAAGCUGGAAUGCUAGUAAUCGUGGAUCAGCAUGCA
This 551-nucleotide ribosomal RNA is filed under the name uncultured bacterium. RNAcentral describes it as "bacterial SSU rRNA". It matches the Rfam family "Bacterial small subunit ribosomal RNA", at positions 803 to 1358 of the family's 1533-position model. The record is from RNAcentral.